AUUGAACGCUGGCGGCAGGCCUAACACAUGCAAGUCGAGCGGAUGAAGGGAGCUUGCUCCUGGAUUCAGCGGCGGACGGGUGAGUAAUGCCUAGGAAUCUGCCUGGUAGUGGGGGAUAACGUCCGGAAACGGGCGCUAAUACCGCAUACGUCCUGAGGGAGAAAGUGGGGGAUCUUCGGACCUCACGCUAUCAGAUGAGCCUAGGUCGGAUUAGCUAGUCGGUGGGGUAAAGGCCUACCAAGGCGACGAUCCGUAACUGGUCUGAGAGGAUGAUCAGUCACACUGGAACUGAGACACGGGCCAGACUCCUACGGGAGGCAGCAGUGGGGAAUAUUGGACAAUGGGCGAAAGCCUGAUCCAGCCAUGCCGCGUGUGUGAAGAAGGUCUUCGGAUGGUAAAGCACUUUAAGUUGGGAGGAAGGGCAGUAAGUUAAUACCUUGCUGUUUUGACGUUACCAACAGAAUAAGCACCGGCUAACUUCGUG
This 484-nucleotide ribosomal RNA is filed under the name uncultured bacterium. Its description in RNAcentral is "partial 16S ribosomal RNA". It matches the Rfam family "Bacterial small subunit ribosomal RNA", at positions 30 to 507 of the family's 1533-position model. The record is from RNAcentral.